UAUGUACGGUACGGCAUUAUUAAACGAAUUUAGAAAAAGAAUGAUCCCAAAACAAUACUGUAAAGACUAUUAGUAUAUGAUAUGAAGUCCACGUCAUGCCAGUUAGACUCCCACGGCACCCACAGACCGCAGUUAUCCUUUUAUCAAAAUAUAUAUAUACAUACAGAGAGAGAGAGAGAGAGAGAGAGAGAGAGAGCCACAGAGGUGCAGAGCGAAGGGAAGACGCCGUUUGAUUUGGAUUUGGUGUGUGGAUUCGGAUUCGAUUUACGAGUUGGAAGUUGGAAGUGGAAUUUGUUGAGUUAGAGAGAGGGUAAGAGGAAAGGAUGCUGGAGUUUUUCGUGCUUGGGUGUGCAGGAAUCGUGGUGUUUCUCCACGGGGUCAAUUUCUUCUUCCACGCCUUGGCUUCCAAUCUCGCGAUGCGCCAUGUCAGUUUCUUGGGAGUGGCUGCUGCUUGGUGAAUGAUGCCAACCAAUAAUUCAAAUGAGAGGGAGGAGACAACACAUUCCUGCCACUCCCCUUGUAAAUAUAUAUUUUUAUAUAUAUGUAUGUAUCAAGAUUAGCUUAUAUCAAUGAUCAAGGCAAAUCUUGCCCAUCUGUGUA
Andrographis paniculata is the source of this 600-nucleotide long non-coding RNA. RefSeq lists it as uncharacterized. The transcript is spliced from 2 exons. The record is from RefSeq and is a predicted model, not a curated record. Lineage: Eukaryota; Viridiplantae; Streptophyta; Magnoliopsida; Lamiales; Acanthaceae.